GAUGAACGCUAGCGGGAGGCCUAACACAUGCAAGCCGAGCGGUAUUGUUUCUUCGGAAAUGAGAGAGCGGCGUACGGGUGCGUAACACGUGUGCAACCUGCCUUUAUCUGGGGGAUAGCCUUUCGAAAGGAAGAUUAAUACUCCAUAAUAUAUUGAACGGCAUCGUUUAAUAUUGAAAGCUCCGGCGGAUAGAGAUGGGCACGCGCAAGAUUAGCUAGUUGGUGAGGUAACGGCUCACCAAGGCGAUGAUCUUUAGGGGGCCUGAGAGGGUGAUCCCCCACACUGGUACUGAGCCACGGACCAGACUCCUACGGGAGGCAGCAGUGAGGAAUAUUGGUCAAUGGGUGCAAGCCUGAACCAGCCAUCCCGCGUGAAGGACGACUGCCCUAUGGGUUGUAAACUUCUUUUGUAUAGGGAUAAACCUACCCUCGUGAGGGUAGCUGAAGGUACUAUACGAAUAAGCACCGGCUAACUCCGUG
This 479-nucleotide ribosomal RNA is filed under the name uncultured bacterium. RNAcentral describes it as "partial 16S ribosomal RNA". It matches the Rfam family "Bacterial small subunit ribosomal RNA", at positions 28 to 507 of the family's 1533-position model. The record is from RNAcentral.